Molecule: transfer RNA, 78 nt
Filed under: Trachymyrmex cornetzi
Lineage: Eukaryota; Metazoa; Arthropoda; Insecta; Hymenoptera; Formicidae
Rfam family: tRNA
About the family: Transfer RNA (tRNA) molecules are approximately 80 nucleotides in length.
Source: Rfam by way of RNAcentral
GGACUAUUAGCUCAGUUGGUCAGAGCAUCGCAUAUGAUUAAUAAGCGAAGGUCACGGGUUCGAUCCCCUCAUGGUCCA